This 253-nucleotide ribosomal RNA is filed under the name uncultured bacterium. RNAcentral's name for it is "partial 16S ribosomal RNA". It matches the Rfam family "Bacterial small subunit ribosomal RNA", at positions 524 to 776 of the family's 1533-position model. The record is from RNAcentral.
UACGUAGGGUGCAAGCGUUACUCGGAUUUAUUGGGCGUAAAGCGCAUGUAGGCGGCUUUGUAAGUUUGAUGUGAAAUCCCUGGACUCAAUUCAGGAACUGCAUUGAAUACUGCAAGGCUAGAGUACGGGAGAGGUAGGUGGAAUUCCUGGUGUAGAGGUGAAAUUCGUAGAUAUCAGGAGGAACAACAGAGGCGAAGGCGACUUACUGGACCGUAACUGACGCUGAGAUGCGACAGUGUGGGGAGCAAACAGG